RNAcentral lists this transfer RNA (67 nucleotides) under Echinoderes svetlanae. RNAcentral describes it as "tRNA-Lys". Lineage: Eukaryota; Metazoa; Kinorhyncha; Cyclorhagida; Echinoderidae. The record is from RNAcentral.
AUUUAAAUAGCUUAAAUUUACAGAGUGAAAGAUUUUUAAUUUUUUGGUGAUUAUUUAUCUUUAGAUA